RNAcentral lists this ribosomal RNA (287 nucleotides) under uncultured bacterium. RNAcentral's name for it is "partial 16S ribosomal RNA". It matches the Rfam family "Bacterial small subunit ribosomal RNA", at positions 28 to 334 of the family's 1533-position model. The record is from RNAcentral.
GAUGAACGCUAGCUACAGGCUUAACACAUGCAAGUCGAGCGAACCACUUCGGUGGGAAGCGGCGAACGGGUGAGUAACACGUAGGUGAUCUGCCCAUCAGACGGGGACAACGAUUGGAAACGAUCGCUAAUACCGGAUAGGACGAAAGUUUAAAGAUGCUCCUGGCAUCACUGAUGGAUGAGCCUGCGGCGCAUUAGCUAGUUGGUGGGGUAAAGGCCUACCAAGGCGACGAUGCGUAGCCGACCUGAGAGGGUGAACGGCCACACUGGGACUGAGACACGGCCCAG